Molecule: ribosomal RNA, 240 nt
Filed under: uncultured bacterium
Lineage: Bacteria
Description: partial 16S ribosomal RNA
Rfam family: Bacterial small subunit ribosomal RNA
Source: RNAcentral
GAUCCUGGCUCGGGAUGAACGCUAGCUACAGGCUUAACACAUGCAAGUCGAGGGGCAGCAUUUUAAUUUGCUUGCAAACUAAAGAUGGCGACCGGCGCACGGGUGAGUAACACGUAUCCAACCUGCCGAUAACUCUGGGAUAGCCUUUCGAAAGAAAGAUUAAUACCGGAUGGCAUAGGAUUAUCGCAUGAUAAUCCUAUUAAAGAAUUUCGAUUAUCGAUGGGGAUGCGUUCCAUUAGG